Molecule: transfer RNA, 73 nt
Filed under: Streptomyces formicae
Lineage: Bacteria; Bacillati; Actinomycetota; Actinomycetes; Kitasatosporales; Streptomycetaceae
Description: tRNA-Arg
Rfam family: tRNA
About the family: Transfer RNA (tRNA) molecules are approximately 80 nucleotides in length. Their secondary structure includes four short double-helical elements and three loops (D, anti-codon, and T loops).
Source: RNAcentral
GCCCCCGCGGCCCAGUGGAUGGAGCAGGCGCCUUCUGAGCGCCUGGCCGCAGGUCCGAUUCCUGCCGGGGGCG